UUGACAGAUGAAAAAUUUCGCCGUUCACAUAUUUAGUAGGGUGCCGAUAUAGUCUGGCUACGAAUCACCAUACUAAAUCAAUGACCCUAUUUAGUUUGCCGAUUAAUCGGGCUACGCUUGGAUAUGAAAUAGGUGCCAUACUAAAUCGGCUGAUGAGUAGGCUCACACAAUUACGCAUGAUUUAGUAGCACAAUAAGUUGAUCGACGUAAUCGGGGGAGAUCGGUCAAUUUAGAAGGUUUGCGUAGGACUCUAUUUAGUUGGCAAACUUUAAGCCUAUUUAGUAUGGAAUGGUCAUAAUUGAAUUAGUUUGUGACAUCUGUUGUCUGAUGGAGUCCAUCGAAGGGAAAGCUUGACCCACGAUAGCACGGAAGGCCUCGUCGGUGCUCAUCAGCAGUUUGUUUGAGUGGCGAGCGCGUUUCUUUCGGCUCCGUCAUGACGACGUCAACCUGACCAAGUUCCCGGACGUUUUCCAUGCAUGCUUGAAGCCGUAAUCGAAGGUGUUCAUGAUUCCAAUGGAGGCGUCGCUAACGACGCCCUCACCGUGGGCCAGUUUCUGGAUGAGGUGCCGGAGAAAAAUCGGAAAAAAUGAGCCAGGAGCUGGAAUCGAAACUCCAGGAGCAGAAGAGCAAGCUGAAGGAAGAGAUGCGCGACAAGGAGGAAAGACUGCGAAUGGUUUAGGAAAUCAUUAGCACCCCGGUUGGGAAAGUGGCUCGUUCCAACAGCGUUGAAGAAUUGACCACACCGGUUACUAGCCGGAUUACUUCAACGAAUGCCAAUGGAGUCCUCUACACUCAAAGAACGAUCAUAGAGGCGUAGCAGUGGCCAAUCCCCGUCAUCGGAGGUCUCGCUCCACGGGCGAACUUUGGCUGGAACACCGUGCUGCAAACCCAGUGCCACUGGGAAGGAUUCUACGUCCCUACUACACCAAACGGAAGUCGGUUAACAAACUGAACGAGGUUCGGGACGUUACCCACGCUAAAGCCUCCAAGUACUUCCUCAUUUCCCAGGAGGCUGAUACCGAGGGGGAAGUCGAGACGAAGAUUUUCAAGAGUGACGUGAUGCCGACAACUACCGACCAGAAAUUCGUUUCGCCAACUACUGGACAUAUUUUUAUUCAGAAAAAUAAAAAUACCUCUACUGGAAUCGCUUCGAGACACGAAAAUUAACCACGUACAUGAAUCGCCCAAUUUAGUCGGAUGGUUCCAUAUUUAGCGGCCAAUCAAUCCGGCUAUUUAGUUGGAUUGGGUAGGGUUUUAGGAAAACAAUCGAUUUUUGUGGUCAAUAAAUUCGGCUAUUUAGUCGGAUUGAGUUGGGUGGUAGGAAGAAAAAUCAAUUUUUGCCGUCAAUCAAUCCGGCUAUUUAGUACGAUUUGGUAGGGUGGUAGAAAAACAAUCGAUUUUAGUGGUCAAUCAAUUCAGCUAUUUAGUCGGAUUGAGUUGGGUGGUACGAAGAAAAAUCAAUUUUUGCAGUCAAUCAAUCCGGCUAUUUAGUACGAUUGGGUAGGAAUAUCUCAUCAACACUAUCGCCCUACUAAUCAGGCGAUUUAGUCGGUUCCUACACAAUCAUGCUACUCAUCACCCUAUUUGAUAGGCCUACGAAAUCGGCUUAUUAAUCGGCUAAUGCCCAGCAAAAACUCCCAUAAGCGACGUUGCAACAAUAGGCCGAUUAGUAUGAACGAAAAUCGGCCGACGCACC
Molecule: long non-coding RNA, 1696 nt
Organism: Uranotaenia lowii
Lineage: Eukaryota; Metazoa; Arthropoda; Insecta; Diptera; Culicidae
Exons: 3
Source: RefSeq, a predicted model, not a curated record